GAGGAGGGGGUUUGGCGGGCCUUGUCCCACCGAAGCCUAGGGAACUGCCCAGUCGAGGGGGAUAACAGUUGGAAACGACUGCUAAUACCGCAUACGCCCUACGGGGGAAAGAAGGGGACCUUCGGGCCUUUCGCGAUUGGAUGUACCUAGGUGGGAUUAGCUAGUAGGUGAGGUAAUGGCUCACCUAGGCGACGAUCCCUAGCUGUUCUGAGAGGAUGAUCAGCCACACUGGGACUGAGACACGGCCCAGACUCCUACGGGAGGCAGCAGUGGGGAAUAUUGCACAAUGGGCGCAAGCCUGAUGCAGCCAUGCCGCGUGUGUGAAGAAGGCCUUCGGGUUGUAAAGCACUUUCAGCGAGGAGGAAAGGUUAACGGUUAAUACCCGUUAGCUGUGACGUUACUCGCAGAAGAAGCACCGGCUAACUUCGUGCCAGCAGCCGCGGUAAUACGAG
This 452-nucleotide ribosomal RNA is filed under the name Shewanella loihica. Its description in RNAcentral is "bacterial SSU rRNA". It matches the Rfam family "Bacterial small subunit ribosomal RNA", at positions 84 to 529 of the family's 1533-position model. Lineage: Bacteria; Pseudomonadati; Pseudomonadota; Gammaproteobacteria; Alteromonadales; Shewanellaceae. The record is from RNAcentral.